CCUACGGGGUGCAGCAGUGAGGAAUAUUGGUCAAUGGGCGAGAGCCUGAACCAGCCAAGUCGCGUGAAGGAUGAAGGAUCUAUGGUUUGUAAACUUCUUUUAUAUGGGAAUAAAGUGUGGGACGUGUCCUGUUUUGUAUGUACCUUAUGAAUAAGGAUCGGCUAACUCCGUGCCAGCAGCCGCGGUAAUACGGAGGAUCCGAGCGUUAUCCGGAUUUAUUGGGUUUAAAGGGUGCGUAGGCGGCCUUUUAAGUCAGCGGUGAAAGUCUGUGGCUCAACCAUAGAAUUGCCGUUGAAACUGGGAGGCUUGAGUAUGUUUGAGGCAGGCGGAAUGCGUGGUGUAGCGGUGAAAUGCUUAGAUAUCACGCAGAACCCCGAUUGCGAAGGCAGCCUGCCAAGCCAUGACUGACGCUGAUGCACGAAAGCGUGGGGAUCAAACAGGAUUAGAUACCCGUGUAGUC
RNAcentral lists this ribosomal RNA (460 nucleotides) under uncultured bacterium. Its description in RNAcentral is "partial 16S ribosomal RNA". It matches the Rfam family "Bacterial small subunit ribosomal RNA", at positions 338 to 795 of the family's 1533-position model. The record is from RNAcentral.